Molecule: non-coding RNA, 67 nt
Filed under: unclassified sequences
Description: RAGATH-18 RNA
Rfam family: RAGATH-18 RNA
About the family: Actinobacteria, Firmicutes, Fusobacteria, Thermotogae (1 example). Nearby to self-cleaving ribozyme genes
Source: Rfam by way of RNAcentral
CCUUUGGAGUGUUAUAUAAACCAGAUUAGUCAGAUUUAUGAUGAAAUGGGACACGAUGAAUAAGGAA